This 1163-nucleotide long non-coding RNA is filed under the name Marmota monax (woodchuck). Lineage: Eukaryota; Metazoa; Chordata; Mammalia; Rodentia; Sciuridae. The record is from RNAcentral.
GUCCAGGGCUCUGGCGGCUUCAGGCGUGCGGGCCGAGGUCCCUGUGAGAGUCGGGUCCGCCCGGCCCGCACCUCCACCCUGCACACUUGCUUGGUUCCAAAUUCCCAGCUUCCUAAAGGUCCCAGGGGUGAUAAGAGCUUUCUGGAGUCAACUCUGUUUUCUGUUUCUGGAGUUCGAAACUCGGAUUGAGUUAAGUAGGACAAUGAAAUUAAAAUCACCGAAAGCAACAUUCCUGCUGUGGGAUUCUGCGAUUGUAGCUGCAGUGCGGAGCAUCCCACGAGGAGACAGGAAGUGGUGCCAACAUCGUGACGCCCCUCGGCCCCGGCCUCUUGGCACCUUGCCCCUCCCCACCGAGCCUGUACUUUAGUCGGCCAUGGUGACCUGCUUCCGACAGAGAGAACAUCUCCUUUGGUGUCAAGGCAAAAGCCUGGAACCUAACUUUGAUCUUCGUGUCCUGGUUGGGAGAAAGCAGGGUCAUUUUAAAAGCAAGAAGUUAUCCCAGCGUCGGGGCGCAUGCCUGUAAUUCCAGUUAUUUGGGAUGCUGAAGCAGGAGGAUCACAAGUUUGAGGCCAGCCUCAGCAACUUAACCAGGUCCUGUCUCAAAAUUUAAAAAGGGCUGGGAAUACAGUUCGGUAGUAGAGGGCCCCCUGGGUUCAAUUCCCAGUAUUGCAAAAAAUAAGUGAAAGCAAGAAGUUAGACUGGGGAUGUGGCUUAAUGGUGGAGCACUUUCCUAGCAAUGCAAAAUAAUUAUAAAUAAAACAAACCAAGGACCUAAUAGAAAAGGAAAACAAUGGUUGCAAGCGGGUAUGGAGGAAUGCAUGUGUCUGCAAAAGGGAAAGGAACCUGUGGAGAUGGAAAUACUCCAUACUUUGUGUCAAGGUCAAUGUCCUGGGGUGUGCUUUAUCAUAGUUUUCUAAUGUUACCUACCAGUGGGGGAGAACCGGGUAAACAGUACACAGGAUCCUUUUGCACAUUUUCUUAAAAUUGCCUGUGAACUAUUUAAAAAUUUUAAAAAAUUACCAUUAAAUUAUAAUUUAAAUGGCAAAGUCAUGGAUUCCAAUGAUGCUGUUAAGAGAUUAGUCAGUGGGGGCUGGAGUUGUGGCUCAGUGGUAAAGCGCUUGCCUAGCACUGGGUUUGAGUCUCAACACUGCAUAUAAACAAAA